This is a long non-coding RNA of Mus musculus (house mouse), 847 nucleotides long. RefSeq annotates it as predicted gene, 51604. The transcript is spliced from 2 exons. NCBI's taxonomy places the organism in Eukaryota, Metazoa, Chordata, Mammalia, Rodentia, Muridae. The record is from RefSeq and is marked validated.
GAAGAGGGACCCGGAAUUGGCGGAGGCGGCCGAGCCGGCACCAAGCUCCGUUCUCAGAGUGUGGUGAGAAGGGGAUAGCUCGCCGGAGAGCGCCGACUCUGGCUGAUGAGUUCUGAAUUCGGCAGUUGAAUCCUUCUCAACAGUCUGCUUUACGGGAACCUUUAUCACCGUCGUUCCCCAGCUGAUGAGUUCUGAAUUCGGCAGUUGAAUCCUUCUCAACAGUCUGCUUUACGGGAACCUUUAUAAACGUGAUCCGCAGUUCUGGUUCCGGAAUGAGGGAUCCUCCUUGCGCCAGUCCCGAGUUUUUUUCUCGUCCCGGAAUUCGGCACCAAUUGUUAUUAGACGCGUUCUCACGACCGGCCAGGAAGAACACCACAGACCAGAAUCUUCUGCGGCAAAGCUUUAUUCUUACAUCUUCAGGAAAAGAGAGCAAGAAGCAAGAGAGAGAGAAAACGAAAACCCCGUCCCUCUUAAGGAGCAUUCUCCUUCGCCUCGGACGUGUCCCUCCUUGAUUGGCUGCAGCCCAUCGGCCGAGUUGACGUCACGGGGAAGGCAGAGCACAAGUAGUCAUAAGAUACCCUUGGCACAUGCGCAGAUUAUUUGUUUACCACUUAGAACACAGGAUGUCAGCGCCAUCUUGUAACGGCGAAUGUGGGGGCGGCUCCCAACAACCCAGGUAUUUACAGCUUGAAAGACUGCGACCCUACAGAGACUCUUCUCUCUAAACCUGUCCCUUUGAUCCAGCUGUAUGCUUUCCUCCCAGUUGAUCUGAGCAAUGACCCUGCCUGUCUGUAAGCUACAAUAAUAAACACACCGAGUUUUCUCCAUCUGAGAACCCAGUCCAGCA